AUCUCCAUCCAAACAACUUGACUUUACACGGAAUAGUAGCUUUCCAUAAUCUUUUAAGUUCACAAAGUCUAAAGUCACUACCAAUAUGAUUAACCGCAUUCAAAGUAUACAAACUUUUAAAAGCAUUCCUAACCGAAAAACCCCCCACAUCUCUCCACCAAAUUAAUUUAUCACCCUCAUUCAUACACGGUUUUACAUCCUUUAAGAUCUCUAUUAACUCCUUCCAAUCCUCCAAUAAUUCACCUACUAAUAAG
RNAcentral lists this long non-coding RNA (254 nucleotides) under Lathyrus oleraceus (garden pea). Its description in RNAcentral is "Pisum sativum (pea) long non-coding RNA (PSAT_LNC002971)". Lineage: Eukaryota; Viridiplantae; Streptophyta; Magnoliopsida; Fabales; Fabaceae. The record is from RNAcentral.